AGUCUUCGGCGGCACAUAUACUUAAAAAAAAUUGGAAUGAUACAGAGAAGAUUAGCAUGGCCCCUGCACAAGGAUGAUACGCAAAUUCGUGAAGCAUUCCAUAUUAAA
This 108-nucleotide small nuclear RNA is filed under the name Echinops telfairi (small Madagascar hedgehog). Lineage: Eukaryota; Metazoa; Chordata; Mammalia; Afrosoricida; Tenrecidae. The record is from RNAcentral.